This is a non-coding RNA of Myotis davidii, 100 nucleotides long. The record is from Rfam. NCBI's taxonomy places the organism in Eukaryota, Metazoa, Chordata, Mammalia, Chiroptera, Vespertilionidae.
AUCACUUCUCAGCCUUUUGGCUAAGAUCAAGUGUAGUAUCUGUUCUUAUCAGUUUAAUAAAAACCUUAUAUGACAAACAUACAGCCAACAUAUACUCAAU